CGGGGCGUAGCUCAGAUUGGUAGAGCACUAGCAUGGGGGGCUAGGGGUCGCUGGUUCAAGUCCAGUCGCUCCGACCA
This 77-nucleotide transfer RNA is filed under the name Armatimonadota bacterium. RNAcentral describes it as "Armatimonadetes bacterium (groundwater metagenome) tRNA-Pro". It matches the Rfam family "tRNA". Rfam says of the family: Transfer RNA (tRNA) molecules are approximately 80 nucleotides in length. Lineage: Bacteria; Bacillati; Armatimonadota. The record is from RNAcentral.